UCAAAUUCACUAUAGAAAAAACUAAUCAAAUAGAAUCAUCAACAACAAUAAACUGACAUUAGCAUAAGAAAAUGAUAAAAGUGACAUUGCUUUCAUCCAUAAUCCACUCCCAACUACAUACUUCGUUGAUAAGAAAAAAAAAUCCUUUAGAUAAGUUAGCAUAUAACACUUUCAACGAAUUAACUACAAAACAAACUGAUCCCUUUCCUUUUGCAAUCCCUUCUGCACUGCCUUUUUCCUUACAG
RNAcentral lists this long non-coding RNA (245 nucleotides) under Olea europaea (common olive). Its description in RNAcentral is "long non-coding RNA (OEUR_LNC013389)". Lineage: Eukaryota; Viridiplantae; Streptophyta; Magnoliopsida; Lamiales; Oleaceae. The record is from RNAcentral.